ACCAGACUCCUACGGGAGGCAGCAGUGGGGAAUAUUGGACAAUGGGGGGAACCCUGAUCCAGCGACGCCGCGUGAGUGAAGAAGUAUUUCGGUAUGUAAAGCUCUCUCAGCAGGGAAGAAAGAAAUGACGGUACCUGACUAAGAAGCCCCGGCUAACUACGUGCCAGCAGCCGCGGUAAUACGUAGGGGGCAAGCGUUAUCCGGAUUUACUGGGUGUAAAGGGAGCGUAGACGGCUGUGCAAGCCAGAUGUGAAAGCCCGGGGCUCAACCCCGGGACUGCAUUUGGAACUGUGUAGCUGGAGUGUCGGAGAGGCAGGCGGAAUUCCUAGUGUAGCGGUGAAAUGCGUAGAUAUUAGGAGGAACACCAGUGGCGAAGGCGGCCUGCUGGACGAUGACUGACGUUGAGGCUCGAAAGCGUGGGGAGCAAACAGGAUUAGAUCCCCUGGUA
This 448-nucleotide ribosomal RNA is filed under the name uncultured bacterium. Its description in RNAcentral is "bacterial SSU rRNA". It matches the Rfam family "Bacterial small subunit ribosomal RNA", at positions 330 to 792 of the family's 1533-position model. The record is from RNAcentral.